This 240-nucleotide unclassified non-coding RNA is filed under the name soil metagenome. RNAcentral describes it as "partial contains 5.8S ribosomal RNA, internal transcribed spacer 2, and large subunit ribosomal RNA". The record is from RNAcentral.
AAGACUAUAGACCUGCGGAGUACCUGCGGAGGGAUCAUUACAGAGUUUUCUAACUCCCAAACCCAUGUGAACUUACCAUUGUUGCCUCGGCGGAGCCUACCCUGUAGCUACCCUAUAAGGUGGUUACCCUGUAGCGCCCCGCCGGUGGAUUUUCAAACUCUUGUUAUUUUUAGUAAUCUGAGAGUCUUAUUUUAAAUAAGUCAAAACUUUCAACAAUGGAUCUCUAGAUCGGAAGAGCAC